CAUAAUCAUUUGUCCACUAAUUAUGGACUAGUAUGAAAGGCAAAAUGAGGGUUUAACUGUCUCUUAUAGUAAGUCAAUUAAACUGAUCUACCAGUAAAAAAGCUGGAAUAAACACACAAGACCAGAAGACCCUGUGAAGCUUAAACUAAACUAUUAAACCACAUAAUAACUAUUUUCGGUUGGGGCGACCUUGGAAAAUAAAAGAACUUCCAAACUAGUGACAAUCAAUCACCCCCAGGCCAACAAGCCACAUAUGACCCAGCACACCUGAUAAUUGAACCAAGUUACUCCAGGGAUAACAGCGCCAUCUUCUUCAAGAGUCCAUAUCAAAAAGAAGGUUUACGACCUCGAUGUUGGAUCAGGACAUCCUAA
RNAcentral lists this ribosomal RNA (372 nucleotides) under Erythrolamprus epinephalus. RNAcentral's name for it is "Erythrolamprus epinephelus partial large subunit ribosomal RNA". It matches the Rfam family "Bacterial large subunit ribosomal RNA", at positions 1960 to 2550 of the family's 2925-position model. The record is from RNAcentral. Lineage: Eukaryota; Metazoa; Chordata; Lepidosauria; Squamata; Dipsadidae.